GCGAGUAUGGCGUAAUGGUAGCGCGUGGCCUUCCCAAGGCUGAGGCUGGAGUUCGAUUCUCCAUACUCGCA
This 71-nucleotide transfer RNA is filed under the name Methylacidiphilales bacterium. Its description in RNAcentral is "Candidatus Methylacidiphilales bacterium tRNA-Gly". It matches the Rfam family "tRNA". From Rfam's summary of the family: Transfer RNA (tRNA) molecules are approximately 80 nucleotides in length. Their secondary structure includes four short double-helical elements and three loops (D, anti-codon, and T loops). The record is from RNAcentral. Lineage: Bacteria; Pseudomonadati; Verrucomicrobiota; Methylacidiphilae; Methylacidiphilales.